This 505-nucleotide ribosomal RNA is filed under the name uncultured bacterium. RNAcentral describes it as "bacterial SSU rRNA". It matches the Rfam family "Bacterial small subunit ribosomal RNA", at positions 28 to 526 of the family's 1533-position model. The record is from RNAcentral.
GAUGAACGCUAGCGGCAGGCUUAACACAUGCAAGUCGAGGGGUAACAGAGAGUGCUUGCACUCUGCUGACGACCGGCGCACGGGUGAGUAACGCGUAUGCAACCUACCUUUUACAGGGGAAUAGCCCAGAGAAAUUUGGAUUAAUACCCCAUAUUAUCUUUUUUUCGCAUGAAUUAAAGAUGAAAGUUUCGACGGUAAAAGAUGGGCAUGCGUCCUAUUAGUUUGUUGGUAAGGUAACGGCUUACCAAGACUUCGAUAGGUAGGGGCCCUGAGAGGGGGACCCCCCACACUGGUACUGAGACACGGACCAGACUUCUACGGAAGGCAGCAGUAAGGAAUAUUGGACAAUGGAGGCAACUCUGAUCCAGCCAUGCCGCGUGAAGGAAGACGGCCUUAUGGGUUGUAAACUUCUUUUAUACAGGAAGAAACCUUUCCACGUGUGGAAAGCUGACGGUACUGUAAGAAUAAGGAUCGGCUAACUCCGUGCCAGCCGCCGCAGUAAAAC